Molecule: ribosomal RNA, 559 nt
Filed under: Bipolaris sorokiniana
Lineage: Eukaryota; Fungi; Ascomycota; Dothideomycetes; Pleosporales; Pleosporaceae
Description: eukaryotic LSU rRNA
Rfam family: 5.8S ribosomal RNA (bases 173-326)
Source: RNAcentral
UUUUUCUGCGCAAUAUGAGGCCUGGCUUCGCGGCCGGCUGAAUAUUUUUUUCACCCAUGUCUUUUGCGCACUUGUUGUUUCCUGGGCGGGUUCGCCCGCCACCAGGACCAAACCAUAAACCUUUUUUUUAUGCAGUUGCAAUCAGCGUCAGUAAAAACAAUGUAAUUAUUACAACUUUCAACAACGGAUCUCUUGGUUCUGGCAUCGAUGAAGAACGCAGCGAAAUGCGAUACGUAGUGUGAAUUGCAGAAUUCAGUGAAUCAUCGAAUCUUUGAACGCACAUUGCGCCCUUUGGUAUUCCAAAGGGCAUGCCUGUUCGAGCGUCAUUUGUACCUUCAAGCUUUGCUUGGUGUUGGGCGUUUUUUGUCUCCCUCUUUCUGGGAGACUCGCCUUAAAACGAUUGGCAGCCGGCCUACUGGUUUCGGAGCGCAGCACAUAUUUUGCGCUUUGUAUCAGGAGAAAAGGACGGUAAUCCAUCAAGACUCUACAUUUUUAACUUUUGACCUCGGAUCAGGUAGGGAUACCCGCUGAACUUAAGCAUAUCAAAAGCCCGAAGGAA